GAUACGCUGCGAAAAGCCGUGGGGAGCUGCGAAUGAGCUUUGAUCCAUGGAUCUCCGAAUGGGGCAACCCACCUUAAGAUACUUGGGAAUCUGAUGCGCCGUUGGCGCGUGAGCGAAUAGUUCUUAGCGAAUAGCGAAUAGGGUUCAAAAAACUAUUCGCUACUCGCUAUUCCCUAUUCGCUCAUGUCGAAGACGCCUCAGGUUCCAAGUAUCGAUAAUAAGGUAUCUACACCUGAAUACAUAGGGUGUAAGAAGCGAACGCAGGGAACUGAAACAUCUAAGUACCUGCAGGAAAGGACAUCAACCGAGACUCCGCA
Molecule: ribosomal RNA, 317 nt
Rfam family: Bacterial large subunit ribosomal RNA